AUGUACCUACGGGAGGCAGCAGUAGGGAAUUUUCGUCAAUGGGCGCAAGCCUGAACGAGCAAUGCCGCGUGAAUGAGGAAGGUCUUCGGAUCGUAAAGCUCUGUUGAAGGGGAAAAAGAGCGGAGAGAGGAAAUGAACUCCGAUUGAUAUUACCCUUCGAGGAAGUCACGGCUAACUACGUGCCAGCAGCCGCGGUAAUACGUAGGUGGCGAGCGUUAUCCGGAAUGAUUGGGCGUAAAGGGUGCGUAGGCGGCCUGCUAAGUCUGGAGUGAAAGGUACCGGCUCAACCGGUACAGGCUCUGGAA
Molecule: ribosomal RNA, 305 nt
Filed under: uncultured bacterium
Lineage: Bacteria
Description: bacterial SSU rRNA
Rfam family: Bacterial small subunit ribosomal RNA
Source: RNAcentral